Molecule: ribosomal RNA, 460 nt
Filed under: uncultured bacterium
Lineage: Bacteria
Description: partial 16S ribosomal RNA
Rfam family: Bacterial small subunit ribosomal RNA
Source: RNAcentral
CCUACGGGUGGCAGCAGUGAGGAAUAUUGGUCAAUGGACGAGAGUCUGACCCAGCGACGUAGCGUGAAGGAUGACUGCCCUAUGGGUUGUAAACUUCGUUUAUAUGGGAAUAAAACGUUCCACGUGUGGGAUUUUGUAUGUACCAUAUGAAUAAGGAUCGGCUAACUCCGUGCCAGCCUCCGCGGUAAUACGGAGGAGCCGAGCGUUGUCCGGAUUUAAUGGGUUUAAAGGGAGCGUAGGUGGAUUGUUAAGUCAGUUGUGAAAGUUUGCGGCUCAACCGUAAAAUUGCAGUUGAAACUGGCAGUCUGGAGUACAGUAGAGGUGAGUGGAAUUCGUGGUGUAGCGGUGAAAUGCUUAGAUAUCUCGAAGAACUCCGAUUGCGAAGGCAGUUCACUGGACUGCAACUGACACUGAGGCUCGAAAGUGUGGGUAUCAAACAGGAUUAGAUACCCGAGUAGUC